GCUGUUCCUCCCACUUCCCCCAGGCCACUCCACUCUCACCCUGACAUGGAAAGCGGUUGAUCUGCCACCCCCAAGAACUGACCUGAGAUGAUUAAGAGACCAUACGAUCAUACAUAGGACUCCUUGUUCAUCACUGAUACCACAUGGAAUUUCUGGACAAAUGUAUGCUUAGGAGACAAUAGCCCACUCCACUCCCACCCUGACAAGGAAAGAUGACAUCCCAGGCAUAUUCUUCAUAUUUCUUCUGAGAGGAAGAAAACAGAGCCACAGACUGAAAGCUCAAAGGGACAUCAAAUGUCUUCGAGUCCAAACCACUCCUCUAACUAACGAGAAACUUGAGACCAAGAAAGCUAAGGAACUUAACCAGGAUCCUACACUGAAUGAGUAUCUGAGGCAGGUCUGGACCUAGAUCUUGAUGAGCCUUGGGUCCAGCACUGUAAUACUCUAUCAGCAAUGCUGCUCUUCCUUACCCUAGAACAAGACCUAGGACCAUUGGAACAUCACUGACACCAUAUGGAAUUUAAUAAACAAUCACAUUUAGGAAAUUAUAGCUACAUAAAGAGGCAUAAUGGAUAGGUGUGGGCCAAUGGGUAAGGAAAAAAUUCUACAAUGGAUGGCAGUUAGGGGCAAGGAAAGAGAAUAAUGAGAGAGGAGCAGUGGUUUAGAGAGGAGAGGGUGUGAUUUCUAGGUAACAAUUGGGGUGGAGAACAGAGAUUCAGGGUUGAGAUUCAGUCAGUACAAAGCAGAAUGUACCAGCAUUAAGGCAAAUCAUUGAACUUCAGGACAAGACUGAUAUCUAUGAGGGUCUUAAAUGACUGAGGAGACAAGUUAAAAGCAGAGGCUCAAAGAUGAUAAACAUUGGGAAGUUUGAGAACAAGCACUGAGUCAGAGGGAUGAGAGCUCAGAGGGUUAGACACAUAAGGGGUUCCAAAAAGAUUCCAGAUGAGCUUGACUGAACCCUGUGAAAGAAUCCUUAAUCAGAUGAAAUAUGGGGUCUCAUACCUGGCUUUUAAACAUCUGGAUCAGAAUGUCUAGCUAGGGGAAUGGUGCUGAGACAUCAGCUCAUCCAACAAAAGUCCAUAGGCAUUUCAGGGGUUGAUAUCCAGGGUAAUCGAUGAUAUCUAUGAGGAGGCAACUCAAGUUGGGAUAGAUGUGGUUUGGGGAUGAUACUGAAGUGUCAAUAUCAAGAGGCUGAAGGCAAGAACAGAAGGGCUCUCCAGAGGGAUAUCACAAGGCAGCAUUUUGGAGAAUAUACUGCUUUAGAAACCUUCAAACAUUGAAUAAAUUUUAAAUAGUGUCCUUCCUAAUGAAAGGCACUAAAAGAGACUCCUCAGAGAGUGAGACCUACCACUGUCCUUGGCACCAAUAAAAUCUUGUAGAGUCAGGAUGAUCUCAUAAUUCUUCUGUAUGAACAACACACCUCUGACCUUGUUGUUCCUGGCAACCCAGGAAUGAUGGUCUUACCACAUUCCCCCAGCCCACUCCACUCCCACCCUGACAAGGAAAGCAUGCCUCAGGCAUAUUCCCUCUCAAAGGAAAACAGUGUCACAGACUGAAAGCUCAAAUGGAUCUCAGAUGUCAAGUCCAAACUACUCCUUUGACAAAUGUGGAACCUGAAGCCAAGAGAGCUAAGGAACUUCCCAGGAUUCUACUCUUAAUGAGGACUGGACCUAGAACCCUUAGUAUAUCAUUGAUACCACAUGGAGAAAUCAUGCUGAGGAGACCAUAGUAUCUGACCCAAAAUGCCUUGUACAUCACUGACACCAUAUGGAAUUUCAGGACCAAUGUAUGCUUGGGAGACAAUAGGUGGAGAGCCGCGAGUGCUCCAAAGUGGAAGUAGAAAAAAAGGCCAGAGCCUAUUCACAACCAGGUUAAAUACCCCAUCUCGCUCUCGGCGCAGGGACAAGGGAAUAGCACAAGUGGACUCAAGGUUGAUGCACAUUAGGAGGUCUGAGGACAAGCCCAGAGUCAAAGGGAUGCUGUCUCUGACAGUUCAAAGCAAAGAGGGAUCAACAAAUAAGUGAAAACUAGCUUGAAGCUUGUGGUUCUGAUGCUACUGACAAUCAAGCUAUAAGAAGAGCAUUGAUUUAGCCAGCCAUAGUUCACUUGAAACUUCUGAGAAUUUCAGGUCCUAGGUCAGCCCUCUAGGGUCAAGCAACUCCUUCCUCCACAUGGCAGUCCAUUAAAUACUUGAGGAAAGUAUGUGGUCCCUUCUCUUCUUCAGCCUAAAUGUCCCCAGGUGCCUGAACAUGGAUUGGUGUAGCAAGAGAGCUAAAAAUCUCACCAUCAGAAAAUGUGGAUUGGAAUUCCAGUACAGGUAUUUACCUAACUCCAAUUUUUAUCACAGUACCCGAAUCUCAAUUUCUUCAUUUGUAAGAUGGGGAUAACAUUUUUACUACAUACUUCACAGGGAGGUUGUGAAAAAAAAUGUGUUUUAGAAACCUUAAAGGCUGGCCUUAUUCCAAGUAAAUAUUCCUACAGUGGCAUGAACCUUGUUUUGGAAGAUGAAAGACCUGGGAUACAGUUCCCAUUCUGCUGCAAACUAGCUGUAUGGUCUUGGACAAGUCAAUCUCCCUUUCAAGGGCCUGUUUUCUUCAUUGUAAAAUAAGGAGAAUAAACUAGAUAAUCUCUAAGUACCUUCAAACUCAAACUCUAAGCUGAGAAGCAAAUAGAAAGACAUGGGCAAAGGAUGUAGUAGUCUAUUGGACGGAUUUUGAAAGCCCUCCUCCCUGGACCAUAGACUGCAAAUCUAUCCCUCAUCAACCUCCAAGGGUCCCUGAAAUCCCUGGCAUUUGAGGCUGAGCUUCCUGAGAGAAGAACAUAUCAGUUUUGAAUUGGUUCCAACACAGGGAUCAGAUUCCUUUAUAAGCACAGCUCACCAGUGCCCUCAAGAGGCUCUGAGGAAAUCUGAGGCAUAAGGCAAGGGAAGUCAGGAAUGGACAGAGGCCUCAAGCAUGGUUGCUUAAGUCACUGGCAGAAGGGCAGGCUCAGAUUCAUAGAGGGGAUUAAGGUGGAGGGUCUUGAACCCUCUGGGUAAAUUCAAGCUCAUGACAAGCAUCACUGACUUCCCAAGAGCACAUGGGGCUGGCCUCAUAGGCACUGGCUAGGCCAAGUCUCUGCAGAGACCAAAUCUAGGGAUAAGGAGUUUUUCAUUACUCCUGUAAGGCCAAGUGGGGCCUCCAUCUUGACACAAACCUCACUCCUGAACUACUGGCCUUGUUGUCUGAUAGGGGGAUGGAAAUUAGGAGCAGACAGAGCAACUGACAUGGCCUCAAGGCCCAACAGAAAUCCCUCUGUUUGCCACUGAAAGCCCUUGACAGCCUGGCCCCAGCCUCUCUAGUCUUAUGACAUCUUACUAUCCUUGGAACAUUCUGUGGCCCAGUCAGACUGGCCUACAUCAGUGCUUUAUUCCUGAUCUCGGUGCAUAGAAAGCACUCCA
Molecule: long non-coding RNA, 3439 nt
Organism: Monodelphis domestica (gray short-tailed opossum)
Lineage: Eukaryota; Metazoa; Chordata; Mammalia; Didelphimorphia; Didelphidae
Source: RefSeq, a predicted model, not a curated record